AGGGGGAGGGUAGGGAGGGGGGGCACAUUCUACUUUGAGCCACUGUAUCUUGAAAGUCAUAUGUGACGGGGACAGAGUUCGCCACACGCUUUGUUUUCGCAGCUUAGUUCACAUUAAUGUGAGACGCAGCUUGAAGAUCGAUGCGCUCACUGCUGCUGUAGCGCUUCCUCAUUCCAGCAUUUCGACAGCGAGUUUCCGCGGCUGCAGCAACAAUACUGGAGCAUGCGAAAGCCUUCUCAACGAAUGAAAAGUCCUCGAGUGUGAGUGCCGUGGUGUGGAGAAGAAACCAGCUACGACCACAACUGAAAUCACUCUCUUCGUGUGAAUGGGACAGCCGGAGCAAAUCUCGCAGGCCAUGGUGAAACCUACCUUUUUACUAUAGUGGGGAUAGAUGGUGCCACUGUUUUGUCACAAGAAAAUCAACAUUUAAUGAGUUAUGCAAGUGUCGGGCAAUACAGCAACGAACAAAAGACAUUACUGGACCGUCCCCUUUAAAUGCGAUAGACAUCUUCACGGCUUUACUGAAGCCCCGUGAAACCUUUUGAAUGUGUCAGUACCAUACUACAACCUUGCUGAACCAGGAAUCAUCUUACAAGAUCACUUCCGAGAUUUCCAAGCCAUGUGUCCAGCACCCAUAUUGCUGGCACCCAACUCUUGUGCUGUUUGCUAGAACAUGGCUACUGGCAGCCCAAGUUGUGCCAAUGCAAGUCCCAGUUGUAGAUGAGCACUUAGGGUGAUAACCUUUACAAUGCUUGUUGCCACUGCUCGUACAGUUUGGUGCAAUCAAAGAAGUGGUGGCAACACAUGGCAAAAGCUUUUCAUGCUCUAGCAAUGACAUGCAGGCUGGGAAGGUGGCUCCACCACAAUGGGCCACUGGCCUCCGUGCAUUUUUAUCAUGACAGAGCAGGCAUACUGAAAAUAAUUUUAUAUGCAAUUUAGUUUUCUACCCUUGCAAAAAAUUCUAUAGGAUGUGUAUCGUAUCAUGAGAAGCCAACUAACAAAAACACCAAGGACAACAUAGGGGAAAUUACUUGUAUUUACUAACUGAAUUAAAGAAAUUAUAAAUUAACGGCAAUGAAAGUGGAUGAAAAAACAACUUGCUAAAGGUGGGGAACAAUCCCACGUCUUCGCAUUGCAUGUGCGAUGCUAUAGGAUAUGUAGCAUUUCUCAGAGCUGCAUAGAGGGGGUCAUUCCAUAUAGCUUCUUACAAUUUUAAUAAACUGAAUGGGACAAA
Long non-coding RNA from Dermacentor albipictus, 1234 nucleotides. RefSeq lists it as uncharacterized. Lineage: Eukaryota; Metazoa; Arthropoda; Arachnida; Ixodida; Ixodidae. The record is from RefSeq and is a predicted model, not a curated record.